Molecule: ribosomal RNA, 498 nt
Filed under: uncultured bacterium
Lineage: Bacteria
Description: partial 16S ribosomal RNA
Rfam family: Bacterial small subunit ribosomal RNA
Source: RNAcentral
GAUGAACGCUGGCGGCGUGCCUAAUACAUGCAAGUCGAGCGAACAGAUGAGGAGCUUGCUCCUCUGACGUUAGCGGCGGACGGGUGAGUAACACGUGGAUAACCUACCUAUAAGACUGGGAUAACUUCGGGAAACCGGAGCUAAUACCGGAUAAUAUAUUGAACCGCAUGGUUCAAUAGUGAAAAACGGUUUUGCUGUCACUUAUAGAUGGAUCCGCGCCGCAUUAGCUAGUUGGUAAGGUAACGGCUUACCAAGGCGACGAUACGUAGCCGACCUGGGAGGGGGUUCGCGGCCACUGUGACAGAGACACAGCGCAGACACCCACGAGGGGGGGAAGAAGGGGAUCUUCGGCGAAGGGGGCAAAACUCACCGGGCGAAGCGGCGGGGGAGAGGAGAGUGUUCUGGGCUUAAAAAUCUUUUUUAUGAGGAAAACAAAAAUGGGAAAGUAAAGUUCACACUUUGGCGGUAACUUAACAAAAAAGCACGGCUAACUACGUG